RNAcentral lists this long non-coding RNA (906 nucleotides) under Homo sapiens (human). Its description in RNAcentral is "non-protein coding lnc-GPR161-3:1". Lineage: Eukaryota; Metazoa; Chordata; Mammalia; Primates; Hominidae. The record is from RNAcentral.
UUUAGAAUUUUUCUGAUUUUUCUUGAGAUGUUUUAGCUCUCUUACUCUGUCCUCUUCUUUCUACUUUCAUCCUAGUUAAAAUUCCAUCUAACUUCAUGGCUUCAGUUAACAUCUGUAUGCAAAAAUCUCCCAAAUUUCUUUCUUGAGCUCUGAUAUCUUUUCUGAGCUCUAUAUCCACACAAUCAACUACCCAACCGAUUUUCAACUUGGGUAUCUCAUACAGAUAACUCAAACUCAAUAUAUUCAAAACCGAGUUCAUGAUCACCUACCCCUACACGUCCCCGCCCAUGCUUCAUCCCUUUUCCAGGGCUACCUAUUUAAGAAAAUAGCCAUUCACUUCUGGAACUACAGGUGCCCGCCACCACAGCUGGCUAAUUUUUUGUGUUUUUCAUAGAGACGGGGUUUCACUGUGUUAGCCAGGAUGGCCUCGAUCUCCUGACCUCGUGAUUCGCCCACCUCAGCCUCCCAAAGUACUGGGAUUACAGGCGUGAGCCACCACGCCCGGCCUUAGACAUGAUUCUUAACCACCCUUUGCCUCAGUUUCCUCAUCUGAAAAAUGGGGGUAAUAAUAGCACCAACUACAUAUGGUUGUGGUAAGGAUUAAGUAAAUUAACAUAUAAAAAAUUGCUCCAAGCAAUGUUUGGUACAAAGAAAAUGUGGUAUUAAGUGUCUUAUGUUGUUGUUGCUGUUAUUAUUAUAAAUCAACUCAAUGCUCCCAGUACAGAAGACAGUAGUGUACAGACAUACAAAUAUGGCUCCACCACUUAUUUCACUCAUCUUUACAUAUUUCUUGGAGUCUCAGUUUCUUCAUUAGUAAAAUUAAGAUAAUUCACCUCAUUGUUAGCACAAAUUAGAUGAUGCAUGUUAAAUUCUUAACACAGUGCUAGUCACAAAAAACUCAAUAAA